This 467-nucleotide ribosomal RNA is filed under the name uncultured bacterium. Its description in RNAcentral is "partial 16S ribosomal RNA". It matches the Rfam family "Bacterial small subunit ribosomal RNA", at positions 28 to 507 of the family's 1533-position model. The record is from RNAcentral.
GACGAACGCUGGCGGCGUGCUUAACACAUGCAAGUCGAACGGAAAGGCCUCGUUCGGGUGGUACUCGAGUGGCGAACGGGUGAGUAACACGUGAGUAACCUGCCCUUUACUUUGGGAUAACUUCAGGGAACUGGGGCUAAUACCGGAUAGGAGCUCCUGCUGCAUGGGGGGGGUGGGAAAGUUUCGGCGGUUGGGGGUGGACUCGCGGCUUAUCAGCGUGUUGGUGGGGUAGUGGCUUACCAAGGCUUUGACGGGUAGCCGGCCUGAGAGGGUGACCGGCCCAAUUGGGGAUGAGAUAAGGCCCAGAAUCCUACGGGGGGCAGCCGGGGGGAAUAUUGCACAAUGGGUGGAAGCCUGAUGCAGCAACGCCGUGGGGGGGAUGACGGCCUUCGGGUUGUAAAACGCCUUCGCUCAUGACGAAGCUUUGUGUGACGGUAGUGGGUAAAGAAGCACCGGCUAACUACGUG